ACGCUGGCGGCGUGCCUAAUACAUGCAAGUCGAGCGGACCAAUAGAAAAGCUUGCUUUUCUUGAGGUUAGCGGCGGACGGGUGAGUAACACGUGGGCAACCUACCUGUAAGACUGGGAUAACUUACGGAAACGUGAGCUAAUACCGGAUAGUUUCACUUCUCGCAUGAGAAGUGAAGGAAAGAUGGCUUUUAGCUAUCACUUACAGAUGGGCCCGCGGCGCAUUAGCUAGUUGGUGGGGUAAAGGCCUACCAAGGCAACGAUGCGUAGCCGACCUGAGAGGGUGAUCGGCCACACUGGGACUGAGACACGGCCCAGACUCCUACGGGAGGCAGCAGUAGGGAAUCUUCCGCAAUGGACGAAAGUCUGACGGAGCAACGCCGCGUGAGCGAAGAAGGUCUUCGGAUCGUAAAGCUCUGUUGUUAGGGAAGAACAAGUACCGG
RNAcentral lists this ribosomal RNA (441 nucleotides) under Bacillus sp. R-33378. RNAcentral describes it as "bacterial SSU rRNA". It matches the Rfam family "Bacterial small subunit ribosomal RNA", at positions 33 to 459 of the family's 1533-position model. Lineage: Bacteria; Bacillati; Bacillota; Bacilli; Caryophanales; Bacillaceae. The record is from RNAcentral.